UACGGAGGGGGCAAGCGUUGUUCGGAAUUACUGGGCGUAAAGGGCGCGCAGGCGGCUGCUCAAGUCAGGCGUGAAAGGCCUGGGCUCAACCCGGGAAUUGCGCUUGAGACUGGGCUGGCUUGAGUGCGGGAGAGGAUGGUGGAAUUCCCAGUGUAGAGGUGAAAUUCGUAGAUAUCGGGAGGAACACCAGUGGCGAAGGCGACUACCUGGCCUGUUCUUGACGCUGAGGCGCGAAAGCUAGGGGAGCAAACGGG
Molecule: ribosomal RNA, 254 nt
Filed under: uncultured bacterium
Lineage: Bacteria
Description: partial 16S ribosomal RNA
Rfam family: Bacterial small subunit ribosomal RNA
Source: RNAcentral